GAAUAUCUAACACCAUUUUGGUUCGCUAUGCUUCUAAAUGAAUAUGAAAUAGAGUUUAUGUUCAGAAAAAUUCGAAACAUUCGAAAUUUGGGCAAUGUUCACAUUAGAGGUCCUCUCAUUGUUAUGAGCAGAACCGAUGCGCAGAACGGACUUGACUUCCCCUUUAAUAGCACAGGUGGUUAAGGCAGACCAUUAGAAAUCUUGGGCGGGGUGUGUGUGACAAUUUCCCCAAAAAACAUAAAAAGAGAAAUCAUGACAUGUGGGAAAACAAUUCAUGCAGCUAAUAAUUCAGAGAAAAGAACUUUUUGUUUUGAAUGUUUUAUCUUUUUUGUGUUUUCUAUAUAAAACGUUGCCCUACUCUCAAGACUCCCAAAGGUCCACCCUAAUUAAUAGUAUUAAUCAUUCUUCUUCUUGGUAGCUUGCUAAGUCAUCUCUUCUUAUAUCAAGCCAGUCUUCUUGAGGAAUGCCAUUUGGCCACUUGGUUGUUUUCCAUGCAUAGAGGCCUUGCCAAAACUCCUUUUGUUUGCGGGCUCUCUGUAUGGUAAUUUCUCGAAUAUAUUUGCGCUAUCAAAAAAAUUAUUCAGAUUGUUGUGGUGAACAAGUAAUAUUUAGUAUUCAAAUUAUCAUAUCCACCAUGUUGGAUGAAUUUGAACAAGGAUUAUAAUUCAAAUUUAUCCAACAUGGUGAAUAUAUAUUUAUUUCUUGAGUGACUAAGGGGUAGUUGCUAUUUUUUUUUCAACCAAUUUAUAAGCACAGGUCAUCAUAUUAGGGCACUGGACAUCAUAUUACGGCAUUUGUCAACAUUCAAAUUCAUUGGCAUUGGGUCAACAAUUCACCUCAAUUUGAUAUUUAGAAUUUAUACAAUAUUAAAAAAAGUGUGCAUGUUUGAAACCUGCAUACAGUACCAGUAAUGGUUUCUGGUUUAGAUUCCCAGAGCAUAUUUACAGCUUUUAAAUAAAAGGUAUAACUUGAAAAAUAAAUUGGUUUUUAUAUAUAAAUAGAAAGCACAUAUUGUUCAUU
Paramuricea clavata is the source of this 1020-nucleotide non-coding RNA. Lineage: Eukaryota; Metazoa; Cnidaria; Anthozoa; Malacalcyonacea; Plexauridae. The record is from the annotation of a GenBank genome assembly.